RNAcentral lists this long non-coding RNA (236 nucleotides) under Lotus japonicus. Its description in RNAcentral is "long non-coding RNA (LJAP_LNC002033)". The record is from RNAcentral. Lineage: Eukaryota; Viridiplantae; Streptophyta; Magnoliopsida; Fabales; Fabaceae.
AGGUUUGUUUUUUUUGGCUUAUAAAGGGAAUACAGAACGUGAUAUAGGAGGAGGGGAACAACAGCAGUAUUGGCGGCAGCACACAAAGGAAUAAGAAGAACUUUGGUUCUUAAUUUCAUAGGUUCUUUAUCUAUUUCUUUGUGAUUUUUAUGGUCAUGCUUGGCUAACUCCUCUUUUUAGCACUUGAGAUGUGAAUCCUUUUUAUUUUUAUGUCUUAAUAUUUCAAUUCUUUGUAU